Molecule: non-coding RNA, 218 nt
Organism: Fukomys damarensis (Damara mole-rat)
Lineage: Eukaryota; Metazoa; Chordata; Mammalia; Rodentia; Bathyergidae
Source: Rfam
AAACAAUGUGGGUGUAACAUCUGUCAUCCCCUUGAUCCAUCAGGGUUGAUUGAGCUGAUCCGGCUGGUUAGGCGGGAGUCCUCUUUCUCUAUAUAUGUCCCUCCUGAAGCUGCCCAACAGAAGAGAACCAUUCUUCAGUCACAGGUGUACAAGUAACUGCUCUCCUGCUAAGACCUCCAAAAAUUUUGUGUCCCUGUCCCCUUGACUUACUAAUCUUU